RNAcentral lists this ribosomal RNA (497 nucleotides) under uncultured bacterium. RNAcentral describes it as "partial 16S ribosomal RNA". It matches the Rfam family "Bacterial small subunit ribosomal RNA", at positions 28 to 507 of the family's 1533-position model. The record is from RNAcentral.
GAUGAACGCUGGCGGCGUGCCUAAUACAUGCAAGUCGAGCGAACAGAUAAGGAGCUUGCUCCUUUGACGUUAGCGGCGGACGGGUGAGUAACACGUGGGUAACCUACCUAUAAGACUGGGAUAACUUCGGGAAACCGGAGCUAAUACCGGAUAACAUUUGGAACCGCAUGGUUCUAAAGUGAAAGAUGGUUUUGCUAUCACUUAUAGAUGGACCCGCGCCGUAUUAGCUAGUUGGUAAGGGAACGGCUUACCAAGGCAACGAUACGUAGCCGACCUGAGAGGGUGAUCGGCCACACUGGAACUGAGACACGGUCCAGACUCCUACGGGAGGCAGCAGUAGGGAAUCUUCCGCAAUGGGCGAAAGCCUGACGGAGCAACGCCGCGUGAGUGAUGAAGGGUUUCGGCUCGUAAAACUCUGUUAUUAGGGAAGAACAAACGUGUAAGUAACUGUGCACGUCUUGACGGUACCUAAUCAGAAAGCCACGGCUAACUACGUG